CCUGUGCAUUUGGUAACUGUCAGAAAACUUGUUUUCUAAAGCUUGUUAAAACUCGUACUAUAAAACAGGUAAAGGUAUUAGAUAUUGCAGGCAUGUGUUAAUGUUACAGUUUAUAGUAUGAUAAUUCUUCCUGUAUUUGUAAACGAAGAUAUAAAACAAGUCUACCUGAUUUGAGAUUCAGUCUUUACUUCAAAAGCAUGUAUCAUUGAUUUAGUUAGGAAUAAGAAUUUUUUAAUCUAAGUUCUUAUAAUCAUGAAUACAAAUACAACUAGCUGCUUGUUUACUCAGAUUAUAAAGUUUUAAGCAAGAUACAAAUUCAUCAUGGUACAAAAAAAUAAUUAACUGUUAGAAAUUGUUCAAAUAAGGAAACUUGCAACUUACUGGCAUUAUUUACUUUAAAUAAGGUAGCCAUGUGUAGACCUCAGGUCUAUGGAAUUGAAGAAUGAAUCAUGAUUGGUCUAAGCAAGGCCCUCUGAUUUGUAUUUGUUAAAACCUGUGACCCCAUCAUCCAACCCAAGAAAUGUUGACAGUUGCUGUCAACUAACUGUAGUGUUUGUUGAAUUGGAAUUCUUAGGCUGCUGGUGCUUGGAAAUGAGUGGAUUCUGUGCUCUUCCCACUUACCUCUCUACGCCUAACCCCCCACCCCCACAUACACACUCCUGAGAUAAUCCCAAGUCAAG
This 680-nucleotide long non-coding RNA is filed under the name Bos taurus (domestic cattle). Its description in RNAcentral is "long non-coding RNA NONBTAT017491". Lineage: Eukaryota; Metazoa; Chordata; Mammalia; Artiodactyla; Bovidae. The record is from RNAcentral.